GUACACGCUGUGACUAGCAUAUCAAUAAGCGGAGGAAAAGAAACUAACAAGGAUUCCCCUAGUAACGGCGAGUGAAGCGGGAAGAGCUCAAAUUUGAAAUCUUAAAGGGUUUCCCUUUACGAAUUGUAGUUUAAAGAAGUGUUUUCUGUUGAGGUUUUGGUAAAAGUUCUUUGGAAUAGGACAUCAUAGAGGGUGAGAAUCCCGUAUUUGACCUUUACUUUCAACUUUGUGAUACACUUUCAAAGAGUCGGAUUGUUUGAGAAUGCAGUCCAAAAUGGGUGGUAAAUUUCAUCUAAAGCUAAAUAUUGGCGAGAGACCGAUAGCGAACAAGUACCGUGAGGGAAAGAUGAAAAGAACUUUGAAAAGAGAGUUAAACAGUACGUGAAAUUGUCAAAAGGGAAGCGUCUGACACCAGUGUUGUUUUUCUGAAAAUCAAUUAAAGAACUGUUUAUGCUAAGUUGUUUAGACUUUAUCAGCUAACUGUUUAGUUUUGAGCUUUUCUUUAAUGCACUUUUCAGUUAACAAGUCAACAUCAAUUUCUUUUGCUGUAAAAAAGCUUGAGGGAAGGUGGCUUGAGAUUCGUCUUAAGUGUUUAUAGCCUCUUGCCUAUGCAGUCGGAGAGAUUGAGGUCUGCAGCGUAGAUCCUUCGGGGCUAAAUGCAUUUGUGCUAAGUUAUAGCAUUUUAUAGACAACUUGUUGACUAUGAUUUGUCUUGUAGCUUACUCGCUUAUGUUAUUUUACCUACGCUUAGGAUGUUGAAGAUGUAGCACAUCAUC
Molecule: ribosomal RNA, 776 nt
Filed under: uncultured Neocallimastigales
Lineage: Eukaryota; Fungi; Neocallimastigomycota; Neocallimastigomycetes; Neocallimastigales
Description: partial large subunit ribosomal RNA
Rfam family: Eukaryotic large subunit ribosomal RNA
Source: RNAcentral